Molecule: ribosomal RNA, 526 nt
Filed under: uncultured bacterium
Lineage: Bacteria
Description: bacterial SSU rRNA
Rfam family: Bacterial small subunit ribosomal RNA
Source: RNAcentral
ACAUCCAGCGAACUUGGCAGAGAUGCCUUGGGUGCCUUCGGGAACGCUGAGACAGGUGCUGCAUGGCUGUCGUCAGCUCGUGUUGUGAAAUGUUGGGUUAAGUCCCGNAACGAGCGCAACCCUUAUCCUUUGUUGCCAGCGAUUCGGUCGGGAACUCAAAGGAGACUGCCGGUGAUAAACCGGAGGAAGGUGGGGAUGACGUCAAGUCAUCAUGGCCCUUACGAGUAGGGCUACACACGUGCUACAAUGGCGCAUACAAAGAGAAGCGACCUCGCGAGAGCAAGCGGACCUCAUAAAGUGCGUCGUAGUCCGGAUCGGAGUCUGCAACUCGACUCCGUGAAGUCGGAAUCGCUAGUAAUCGUGGAUCAGAAUGCCACGGUGAAUACGUUCCCGGGCCUUGUACACACCGCCCGUCACACCAUGGGAGUGGGUUGCAAAAGAAGUAGGUAGCUUAACCUUCGGGAGGGCGCUUACCACUUUGUGAUUCAUGACUGGGGUGAAGUCGUAACAAGGUAGGCGUAGCGAG